RNAcentral lists this transfer RNA (68 nucleotides) under Pristionchus pacificus. It matches the Rfam family "tRNA", at positions 5 to 66 of the family's 71-position model. From Rfam's summary of the family: Transfer RNA (tRNA) molecules are approximately 80 nucleotides in length. Their secondary structure includes four short double-helical elements and three loops (D, anti-codon, and T loops). Lineage: Eukaryota; Metazoa; Nematoda; Chromadorea; Rhabditida; Neodiplogasteridae. The record is from Rfam by way of RNAcentral.
AUGUAGUCUAGUGGUUAUGAUUUGCGGCUCUCACCCGCAAGGCCCGGGUUUUUUUUUAUUCCCGGCAU